AAGGAUACACACCAACCUGAUUAUAAAUCUCUACAUCCUCAACUUAAAAAGAAAAGUAAGCCUAGACUCUUUGCAUUGUUUUUAAUUAUAUCUGACCACUUCAGUUAGAUUUUCUUGUCCACUUCUAAAGAAUCUACCUAGGGAUGUCAAACAGGUUUACCCAUCCCGUUCCGUCCCAUACCGCAGCGGGUUAGUCGUCGAGCGGGUUACAGCGGGCCUGUCCCGCGCGGGCUGCGGUCUUCAAAAUACCGGCCCAAACCCGUACCGCAAAAUAUAUAGGCCUUCGCGGGCCGUCCCGCGGGACGCCUCCUUAUCAAACUGCCUACUACAGUUUUUUUUUCAUGAAUGCUCAAGUAUAAGAGUUGUGUAAGAGAAUUGAAGAGAGCUCAUUUAGCUUCACUAAAGACUUAUCAAAAUCAAUGCCACAAAGCUCCGUUUGUGCUUGCGUUCUUGAGUUAAAAGCCUUCUUUUGUUAUCAGCAUAAGCUUUUGUUGAGUUUGAAUAUGAUUGAGUUAUUAUCUUUGUAAUAAGUUGGCUCAAGUGUUUUAUGUCUUCAUCAAACCAUCACUCUUUUUAAUUAUUUGGAUUGCAAAGAAAAUCGUGAAUCACUUUACCAAAUUAUACAAGUGAAUGUUUAAUACAACUAACUUUUCUCCUAAACAACACCACUGUAACCAAAUUUAAUUUAAGAAAAACACCACUUCACAAUACUGAAAACAAAACCAAUCAACUUAAACAAGAAAUAUCACAUUGUAAUAAAGCAAUUCAUAGUUGUGUGAAAUAAAAAGAGAAAACCAAAUCAAAACAACACCAGAGCUCGAAUCGUCAUCGCUGGAGCUGGAAUCGUCAUCGCCGGAGCUCGAACCAUCAUCACCGGAGCUCGAAUCAUGCAUCAUCGCCGGAACUCCUUAUGUUUUAUGGGAGAAAAGUCACAAGAAUCCUUUCUCUCUCUCUCUCUCUCUCUCUCUCUCUCUCUCUCUCUCUCAAUGUUUUAGGCGAAAGCAGAAAUGGGGACUUAGGGUUGCGGGUCUUCAAAAUCCCGCGGGUUAAGCCCAUCCCGUUUUCGACCCGUCCCGCUUUUGACCCGUCCCGCUUUUGACCCGUCCUACUUGAACCCGUCCCGCGAGGCCCGCAAUUUUGCGGGCUUACCAAAUGGAGGCCCAAUCCCGCCCCGCAGCAAGCCUUUACGGGCCAGGCCCGCGGUCCAGGUCCUUAAUUGUCAUCCCUAAAUCUACCCUUCUUUGUUUUUUUUGUUGAUCAGAACCCUUCUUUGUUUUUAACAGUGGGAACAGAGAUGGUAAUUUGUAGGCCUUUUCCAGUCUAAGUAUUUCAAGACAUUAAUUCCAUCAUCACUUACCAUUUCUCAGCCAAAGAUGGCAUCUGCGAGGUAUAUAUCCACAACGUAUACUAUUUUGUAUUCAUCUUCAAAGAACAAGUGAACAGAGAAUCUCUGCUUAUGGUUUAGCUAUUUACUAAUGAAUUUGUUUGAAAUAGUAGGUGUUUAGUUUCAUUUAUAAAGAAAAAUACAUUUUCAUCGUAAUUGUCAGCGUUUAUAAAACAGUCGAUGCCAAAAAAAAUAUUUGGUUGGAAGAUUAUUUAAGUAGACGUGUUUAGUGUCAUUUGUAGAAAAUACAUUUCAUCGCAAAUGUUAACGUUUAUAAAACAAUCGAUCCCUAAAUAAUUUGGCUUGUUUAUUUAUGGAAGAUUGGUUUUGAGACGGAAGGUAAAGAAGAGGAGAAACUGAAGGUAGAGAAUGCGAAUGUUGUGGGGA
Molecule: long non-coding RNA, 1771 nt
Filed under: Brassica napus (rape)
Lineage: Eukaryota; Viridiplantae; Streptophyta; Magnoliopsida; Brassicales; Brassicaceae
Description: long non-coding RNA (BNAP_LNC001041)
Source: RNAcentral